AACUUUCGGCAACGGACCACUUGGCUCUCGCAUCGAUGAAGAACGCAGCGAAAUGCGAUACGUAAUGUGAAUUGCAGAAUUCAGUGAAUCAUCGAAUCUUUGGACGCACCUUGCGCCCCUUGGAAUUCCGAGGGGCCCUCCCGUUUGAGUGUCGUGAACGUCCUUCAACCUUUCUUGGUUUCUUGCCUGGGGAGGGCUUGGACUUUGGGGGUCUGUCAUUGCAUGCCUCUUUGAAGCCAGCUCCUCCUAAAUGGAUUAGUGUGGUCUGCUGUGCCGAUCCUUGACGUGAUAAGAUGUUCCUACGUCUUAGGUUUCGCACCGUCGCUUUAGACCCCGCUUCUAACCGUCUUGCAUUCAAGACAGAGUUUUAAACCUUGACCUCAAAUCGGGUGAGACUACCCGCUGAACUUAAGCAUAUCAAUAAGCGGAGGCU
Molecule: unclassified non-coding RNA, 433 nt
Filed under: uncultured Russula
Lineage: Eukaryota; Fungi; Basidiomycota; Agaricomycetes; Russulales; Russulaceae
Description: sequence contains ITS2
Rfam family: 5.8S ribosomal RNA (bases 1-154)
Source: RNAcentral